RNAcentral lists this ribosomal RNA (253 nucleotides) under uncultured bacterium. RNAcentral's name for it is "partial 16S ribosomal RNA". It matches the Rfam family "Bacterial small subunit ribosomal RNA", at positions 524 to 776 of the family's 1533-position model. The record is from RNAcentral.
UACGGAGGGGGCUAGCGUUGUUCGGAAUUACUGGGCGUAAAGCGCACGUAGGCGGCUUUGCAAGUUAGAGGUGAAAGCCCGGGGCUCAACUCCGGAAUUGCCUUUAAAACUGCAUCGCUAGAGUUGUGGAGAGGUAAGUGGAAUUCCGAGUGUAGAGGUGAAAUUCGUAGAUAUUCGGAAGAACACCAGUGGCGAAGGCGACUUACUGGACACAUAUUGACGCUGAGGUGCGAAAGCGUGGGGAGCGAACAGG